Molecule: ribosomal RNA, 185 nt
Filed under: uncultured bacterium
Lineage: Bacteria
Description: partial 16S ribosomal RNA
Rfam family: Bacterial small subunit ribosomal RNA
Source: RNAcentral
CUGCAUGAAGUUGGAAUUGCUAGUAAUCGCGGAUCAGCAUGCCGCGGUGAAUACGUUCCCGGGGAUUGUACACACCGCCCGUCACACCAUGAGAGUCGGGAACACCCAAAGUCCGUAGUCUAACCGCAAGGAGGACGCGGCCUAAGGUGGGUUCGAUAAUUGGGGUGAAGUCGUAACAAGGUAGC